GGCGAACGGGUGCGUAACACGUGGGCAACCUGCCCCUCACUCUGGGAUAACUCCGGGAAACCGGGGCUAAUACCGGAUACUCCGGCCGAACCGCAUGGUUCAGCCGGGAAAGGUCCGCCGGUGAGGGAUGGGCCCGCGGCCUAUCAGCUUGUUGGUGGGGUAACGGCCUACCAAGGCGACGACGGGUAGCUGGUCUGAGAGGACGACCAGCCACACUGGGACUGAGAUACGGCCCAGACUCCUACGGGAGGCAGCAGUGGGGAAUCUUGCGCAAUGGGCGAAAGCCUGACGCAGCGACACCGCGUGAGGGACGAAGGCCCUCGGGUUGUAAACCUCUUUCGGCAGGGACGAAGCGAUCGUGACGGUACCUGCAGAAGAAGCUCCGGCUAACUACGUGCCAGCAGCCGCGGUAAGACGUAGGGAGCGAGCGUUGUCCGGAUUCAUUGGGCGUAAAGAGCGCGCAGGCGGUUCGGUAAGUC
This 479-nucleotide ribosomal RNA is filed under the name uncultured Actinomycetes bacterium. RNAcentral's name for it is "bacterial SSU rRNA". It matches the Rfam family "Bacterial small subunit ribosomal RNA", at positions 97 to 589 of the family's 1533-position model. The record is from RNAcentral. Lineage: Bacteria; Bacillati; Actinomycetota; Actinomycetes.